CGCCAAGCCGAUGGCUCCGGAGGACGCCGGAGCCAAGUGCACAAGGGA
Non-coding RNA from Streptomyces violaceusniger Tu 4113, 48 nucleotides. The record is from Rfam. Lineage: Bacteria; Bacillati; Actinomycetota; Actinomycetes; Kitasatosporales; Streptomycetaceae.